GAGAGAGAGAGGCAGAGACACAGGCAGAGGGAGAAGCAGGCUCCGCGCAGCGAGCCCGACGCGGGACUCGAUCCCCGGUCCCCAGGUCACGCCCUGGGCAGAAGGGGGCGCUAAACCGCUGCGCCAGCCCGGCUGCCCAUGAUUGAAAUUGCCGAUGGGAAAUUUUGAAGGAUAGAAGUUAAAAACGAGUGAAUGGGUGCUCAACUUUCCAUCUUUCGGGAGUAAAUGUAAGAAGUCUGGAGGCGGCUACCACAAGGUAGGGGAGCGGCGGGGAGCGCGGAGCAGCGGGCGCGGAGGCCGGGGCGCGAGGGGCGGGGCCGGCAGGCCGGCGGGUCCCCGGGGUGCACCAUAGAGGGCGCUGGAUGACCGAGGGACAGAGAGGCGCACGCCGCCCACGCCAGUGGCUCCGGGAACCCGCGCCGGCGAGCAAGAUGGCGGCCGUUUGACUGCGAGGCGAGGCGCGGCGCCGCGGGGUGCUGCCGGGGUGGCGACGGCGGGUUGGCUUGGAGCAACGGCCGCCGCCGGGACAGGCUCCCCGCGAGAUGGGACGUGAAGGGCUCCCGCCCGCCCCGCCGUCCUGCAGCUGCUGGAAUGACCUAGCAAUUGGCUAGGUAUACCCUGAACUAUAUAAGAUGUAUGGUGGGCCAGAAGCAGGCCUUCUUCCUGCAGACUUGGAAGGAGCUGAUGACAAAGGUCUGCCAGCAGAGCUCUGACUAUGUUCUUCAGUCUCAAAAAACAUAGAACAGCUACAGAAAAGGUACCACUGCCAUAAAUUUUGCCUACCCCAGGAAAUCUCCAGUUCAACUCUUGAGUUGCUCCGAUGAUCCACCCACCCUGGACCCAUACCCCUGUCUCCAGGCACUGAAUUUUAAGAGGAAAUUCCUGGAGACCCUAAAACCUUCAAGACACAAAGAAUGCAAGAUAGAGAAAAAUAGUGACAGUCAGUUCUUUUGGAGUAAAAUGUCACUGCCUCAAACAUACUUCAUAGGUAUUCAUCACAUACCAAUUCUGAAAUUAGCCUGCUUGUUAUGGUGUUAUGACAGCAAACAGUAUGCAAAGGUUGGGGUUGCCAAGAGGACCAAUGAUGCAUGUGAAUUUGUAAAGUAUCAUAAAAGUGGAGACUAUGUAUAG
Molecule: long non-coding RNA, 1131 nt
Filed under: Vulpes vulpes (red fox)
Lineage: Eukaryota; Metazoa; Chordata; Mammalia; Carnivora; Canidae
Description: lncRNA (ENSVVUG00000022144.1)
Source: RNAcentral